AAAUGCCCUGCUGGUGUGAACUCCUGACUCCAAGCUCUCACAAGUUCUCCUGGGAAGCAGUAUGGCAAUGCCUUUGGCAGCGUGAACAUGAAAGCAAGGUCUGCAACCAACCUCUGUCGCGUUUGGUGAUUGCCUUUGAGCAGAGGGUGCUCAAAAACGUGGAUUCUCCUGCUGCCCUGUAGCAGCAGUUCUGCUCUCAGUGGUCUACUCUCACCUCACCCAGCACUGGUGCUGCCUUCAGCACGAAGUGCUAAACUCCCGUCUGAACUUUAAAGAGAAAGCACAGAGCAGACCAGAGGGCAGGCAGAAUGAUGCUAUGUUUAGGACUGAGUACCAGGCUGAGGAGCUGGAAUGCUUCAUUCCAUCACAGGCAUUGAUAGCUGGGACCUCAGCCUGAUCGACUGAGACCCAGCUUCUGAACGUCUUCAGCAUGAACCUUCCAGAGGACAUAAAAGGGCUCGAUGAGAUAAGAAAUGAGCUAUCGAGUGCUGCUCUUGAGACUUCAUCCUCAACUCCUUGAAGUCAACAGAAAGCUACUGAGAGUCUUCAGUGGGCUUUGGAUCAGACGUUCGGUGUGUUAACGAGUUGGCCAAAGGAGCACUUCAGAGGUGAGCAGGUCGGUGGACUUCACGGAAUAUGGUACCAUCCAAUGAAAAGGAAAGAAAUACAAACAGGCCCAGAAUUGGUCUGGUGGUUGGGCAACCCUGCCCAUGGCAGAGGGGUUGAAACGAGAUGAUCUUUGAUGUCCUUUUCAACCCAGGCCAUUCUACGAUUCUAUGAUGAUCAAAUGGAGAAGCACUGCUGCCCAACGGGGGACUGUAAGCCUUUGGAAGACUCAGCCCCAGCAGCGUCGUUUGGGAGUGGGCAGGAGUUGAGUGCUCCGAGCGCAGAGUGCUCCGCGGUCACCUGGGGAUGAGGAUCAGCCUUUCCUCAUGGGCUGUGGGACCAGCGACCUCUGCUGC
This is a long non-coding RNA of Centrocercus urophasianus (Greater sage-grouse), 962 nucleotides long. RefSeq lists it as uncharacterized. The transcript is spliced from 6 exons. Lineage: Eukaryota; Metazoa; Chordata; Aves; Galliformes; Phasianidae. The record is from RefSeq and is a predicted model, not a curated record.